Molecule: long non-coding RNA, 2436 nt
Organism: Clupea harengus (Atlantic herring)
Lineage: Eukaryota; Metazoa; Chordata; Actinopteri; Clupeiformes; Clupeidae
Source: Ensembl
GUCGUCAUCGCGGAGCGUCUCACUUUGCCCACGCUCUUUGACGUCAUCGUGGGAGUGUUCCAUCGGAGAAAUGAACGGUCAUCAGCACAAUCCUGUAAGCGUCCAUGUAAGUUAACGUUCAAAUCUUUAAAUAAUGCACUCAGUGUCAUUACUAAACGACAAUAUAGUUAUGAAUUAGCAACCAGUUUAUUGUCGUAAACGUUUUCCGUCUUAAGAGAAUAGUAUCGGUUCUCAGUCUGUACAAAUGUUAAGAUUGCUCUCCAACUCAACCUGCUCUCACCCACUAACGUUAGCUGGCUAGUUGGUAGCAUUAGUCGUUUGCUACCCAGACCGGGCAGGGCGACAACCUGUACCAGCCAUCAUGCAAUCGUGACAAAUGUAUAAGAAUCCUCAUUCUCUAUGGGUACAUCACCUUUAAUGUUUGAUAUUACUGGUGAAUAUAUCAUGAUUCUGAUUCUGAAUUUGUUGACGCUAGCUAGAGAGCUUGCUGAGUAGAACGAGACUUCGAUGAUUACAUUUAACGUUAGCUUGCUACCUAGCUGUCCUCAUUAGCAUACCCUGCUUAGGACCAUAGACUUUGCUUAGGUUUCCUACCCAGCUAGCUAGCUAGCUAGCUUGCUAUCUGACCAAUGUGUAGUGCCCCACCAUAUCUCCCCUCUGUGAUGCUGGAGCUUUUCUCGUUUGACAGCCGGAUGCGAGUGACAUAAUCUUGUAACGUUAUUAUUAACACUGUUUCAUGAGUACACAUAUUAAUAUUGUAAUAUUAACAUCAAAUUGGGAGUUUGCAAUGUGCAGUAACAAUGCCGGCUAAGUUGACGAUUUAGGUUACUGAACAUUGUCGAUGGCCAACUUUUAGAGAUGGUUUUGGGCGUAAACGGCUCAAUCCCAGGCUAUCUUGCGGCCGUCAAGCUAGCUUGCUAGCUGGGUUGUUAGCUACGCGGUCAAUACAUUUAAACAUUAUGGGCAGACCUAGGAAUUUCACUAGAUCAGGCAUGCUAUAUUCAUAAACCUUCCCGGGAAGAGCUGACUGUCGGAAGAAACUACCUUGACACUUUUUAAGGACUAGGGGGGUUCAUGAGCAGGAGAGGUCGUUUUUGGACGUUGAAGCUGACCUCUUCUAUGUAGAAGACAAGAGCCAGCACACUGAUGACCGGGCCAGAAGCUGACCCUGAGCCUUGAGUCAGAAGAGGAGCGGCUGGACUGAUGGUAGGACGCACUCUUUGUCUGCUUUCCCUCUUUUUCUCACAUUGUUCUUCAUCUGUGGUGUUUGUAUGUUUUCUUUUUUCUUUUUUUUUGAAAUGUUAAAAAGAAGAAACAUUGUGUUUGGAGUGGUGACUUCCACCUGUUUGUUACUGUGGUUUUCACAAUGACAACUAAUGAACUGUGAUGAUAAGAAAUCAUUUUUUAUUGAUGACGAAUUAAAUCUGCACCCAGUUGACAUGCGUCUGGUUGAAUGAAAAGUCACAAAGCUGGCUGUUUCCAUGACUGACCAGAAUAGGAACAUUUCCCUUCUGGGGGCGCCCAGAGACUUUGGCCCGCAAACGACAGUGAAUGUAACCUUUGAUCAUGAGUUUUCACAAGCACAAAAGCCCAUUAGAUGCUUGCCCUCGCCUUUGUUUAGCUUUUUUUGAACCAUCAUUCACAUCCACUGACAUCCACAUCCAUGCUUUUCAAACAAUAGUUUAUUGCACAAAUAAUCUCUGAAAUGUUUAUUUCCAGAUUAGGAUGGCGAUUAUAAUAAUGAAGUUUUGAUCACAACCUUCUGACGGUGGUUUAGAUUGUGCAAUCUUGCAGAGAAGGGCUAAACCACUGCAUAGACACCAGAGCAUUUCAGAGAUUAUUGCAUAUUUGUAUCAUGCUUUAUCAUCCUCACUGGCUGUAGGUAGACUGUUGUAUGUACUUGUGAUAUAGCCUAGUAUGUCAUGAUGGGUUGGCUCCUGUGGACCUGAUGGGUUGGAAAGCAGAUCUUUUGUGUGUGCCAGUAAAAGUCAGGCAAUAUUACUACUCUUGACUGCCAGUUAUAUCACAUACAGAUGAAGUAGAUGUUGUGUUAGUCCCCGUGUGCCAAGAAGCUGCAGAUGAAUACCUCGUGGAUGAAGACAAAAAAAAUCCUGCAAUGCUUUUUUGGACAUUAGACAAAUUGUUCAAAAGGUCCUAAGCAGUUUGCCCUUAAUGUUCUUGUACCCAUGGAUUAAUAAAGGACUUGUAAUCGAUAAGGUUAAAGGCCUGUUCCUUUUAAGUGCCUCUGAAUAACAGGAUCCUUUAUAGUUCCUGUGUCUUUCCUGUUAAAAGCUCAAGUCCAGACGAACCCAGUCCUUCAUGUCUGUCAGCCAACCCCUAAUGCUGCCUUUAAGUGUUCUGUUAACUCAUCCUGCUGCUGCUACUGCUAUUGCUGCUGCUACUGCUAUUGCUGCUGCUACUGCUAUUGCUGCUGCU